This 1419-nucleotide ribosomal RNA is filed under the name metagenome. RNAcentral's name for it is "bacterial SSU rRNA". It matches the Rfam family "Bacterial small subunit ribosomal RNA". The record is from RNAcentral.
AGAGUUUGAUCCUGGCUCAGGACGAACGCUGGCGGUAUGCCUAACACAUGCAAGUCGAACGAGAUUCUUCAUUUGUUUACAAAAGAAUGAUUGCAGUGGCGGACGGGUGAGGAACACGUAAGAACUUACCUUUUGGCGGGGGAUAACAACGGGAAACUGUUGCUAAUACCCCAUAAUGCUGAGGAGCGAAAGGGAAACUGCCAAGAGAGAGGCUUGCGUCUGAUUAGCUAGUUGGAGGAGGUAAAUGCUCCCCAAGGCGACGAUCAGUAGCUGGUCUGAGAGGAUGAUCAGCCACACUGGGACUGAGACACGGCCCAGACUCCUACGGGAGGCAGCAGUGGGGAAUUUUCCACAAUGGGCGAAAGCCUGAUGGAGCAAUACCGCGUGAGGGAUGAAGGAUCGUGGUCUGUAAACCUCUUUUCUUAAGGAAGAAUAAAUGACGGUACUUAAGGAAUAAGCUCCGGCUAACUCCGUGCCAGCAGCCGCGGUAAUACGGGGGGUGCAAGCGUUGUCCGGAAUGAUUGGGCGUAAAGCAUCUGUAGGUGGUUUUUAAAGUCAACUGUUAAAGCCCAGGGCUUAACUUUGGAAAAGCGGUUGAGCACUUAAGGACUUGAGUAUGGUAGGGGUAGAGGGAAUUCCUUGUGGAGCGGUGAAAUGCACAGAGAUAAGGAAGAACACCGAGGGCGAAAGCACUCUACUGGGCCAUGACUGACACUGAGAGAUGAAAGUCGGGGGAGCGAAAAGGAUUAGAUACCCUUGUAGUCCCGACCGUAAACGAUGGAUACUAAGUGCUGACAAAAUCAGUGCUGUAGCUAACGCGUUAAGUAUCCCGCCUGGGGAGUAUGCUCGCAAGAGUGAAACUCAAAGGAAUUGACGGGAAUUGGCACAAGCGGUGGAUUAUGCGGUUUAAUUCGAUGAUACACGAAGAACCUUACCAGGGAUUGACAUGUUCAGAACUUUCGAGAGAUUGAGAGGUGCCCUUUUUUAGUUUCCAAGAAGAGGGAGCUGAAACACAGGUGGUGCAUGGCUGUCGUCAGCUCGUGCGGUGACGUGUCGAGUUAAGUCUUUAAACGAGCGCAACCCUUGUCUUUUGUUACCACUUUCUUUAUGAAAGGACUCAAAAGAGACUGCCGGUGUAAAUCGGAGGAAGGAGAGGAUGACGUCAAGUCAGCAUGCCCCUUACAUCCUGGGCUACACGCGUAAUACAAUGGCAAAGACAACAGGACGCGAACCCGCGAGGGGAAGCAAAUCCCAUAAACUUUGUCUCAGUUCGGAUUGAAGUCUGCAACUCGACUUCACGAAGCCGGAAUCGCUAGUAAUCGCCGGUCAGCUCUACGGCGGUGAAUACGUUCCCCAAUUUUGUACACACCGCCCGUCACAUGCUGGGAGCCGUCUUGUCCCAAAGACAGGUUGUGAACC